RNAcentral lists this long non-coding RNA (406 nucleotides) under Gossypium barbadense (sea-island cotton). RNAcentral's name for it is "long non-coding RNA (GBAR_LNC010675)". Lineage: Eukaryota; Viridiplantae; Streptophyta; Magnoliopsida; Malvales; Malvaceae. The record is from RNAcentral.
UUUCUCUUCACCUUCUACCUCAUCCUUCUUCUUUUCUUUCUUCUUCUCCUUUGCCUCUUUGUCUUUCUUCUUUUCUUUCUUUCCCUCUUCUAAUUCUUCAUCUUCAUCUUCUACCUCAUCCUUGUUCUUCUUUUCUUUCUUCUUCUCCUUUGCUUCUUUGUCUUUCUUCUUUUCUUUUUUUCCCUCUUCUAAUUCUUCUUCAUCUUCUUCUACCUCAUCCUUCUUUUCUUUCUUCUUCUCUUUUGCCUCUUUGUCUUUCUCCUUUUCUUUCUUUCCCUCUUCUAAUUCUUCAUCUUCAUCUCCUACAUCAUCCUUCUUCUUCUUCUCUUUCUUCUUUUCCUUUGCUUCUUUGUCUUUCUUCUUUUCUUUCUUUCCCUCUUCUAUUUCUUCAUCUUCAUCUCCUUCU